Molecule: RNA transcript, 7945 nt
Organism: Nyctereutes procyonoides (raccoon dog)
Lineage: Eukaryota; Metazoa; Chordata; Mammalia; Carnivora; Canidae
Gene: DECR1
Gene name: 2,4-dienoyl-CoA reductase 1
Exons: 3
Source: RefSeq, a predicted model, not a curated record
CUCCGAGUGCCCCGGCAGCUUCAGAGCCGUGUGUACGCGUGGGGGGGGAAGGGUAGCAGGACCCUGCGGGCGUCGGCUCGGAAGGGGAGGGGCGCGGCGGUGGGAGGGGUCCGCAGGGUGCCCUGGCCUCCCUGGCGGCCUCGUCUCGCCGGGAAGAUCCGCUUCUGCAUUAGUUGUGCAAAUGAAACGUUCAUGCAAACAGAAGUUCUAUUAGAAGAAAAAAACCCCGAAACCCCGCUCUCUAUCCUCCUCCCUAGAGGCAAAGCUGGGAGAGAGGUGGGUACCUUUCGGGCUGCCUUCCACCCCCCAGCUUUGGGAGACGCAGCCGGUGUGUUUUGUCAACGUGCGUCCACGGGACCCAGAGUCAGAAUAAAAAAAAAUGCAAGCGAGGGACACCUGGGUGGCUCAGUGGUUGUGCACCUGCCUCCAGCCCAGGGCGUGACCUUGGAGACCCGGGAUCCAGUCCCGAGUCCCACGUCGGGCUCCCUGCAUGGGGCCUGCUUCUCCCUCUGCCUGUGUCUCUGCCUUUCCCUCUUUCUGUCUGUGUCUCUCAUGAAUAAAUACAUAAAAUAUUUUUUUAAAAUGCACGCGAAGAUAGCUGGAGAGGCUAAGAGAGCGAAAGGAGGUUGUAAGAAGAAGCAGUGAGAUCCAAGACAGUCUCUUCCCCCAAGCAAAGUUAGGAACCUUAAUACACUAAAUCUAAAAGUUCAGCUUCCUUAGCCAGGUGAAAGAAGUAUCUAUCCUGCCAAGGGUACUUCCCCCAAGUCAGGGACUAACCAAACCCUGCUUAGUCCAGUGGGAUGCCAGCCCUGCUGUUCUUUUCUGGAAAAUGGAGGUAGCAGCUCCAAAUGUGAACAUGAGGAAAUAGUAUGGUCAGUCUCUUAAGUUAGAGAACUUCGCUUUAUUAUUUUUUUAAAGGUUUUAUUUAUUCAUGCAGAGAGAGAGAGAAGCAGAGACACAGGCAGAGAGAGAAGCAGGUCCAUUCAGGGAGCCCGACGUGGGACUCUAUCCCCAUGGGACUCUAUCCCUGUGGGACUGUAUCCCAUGGGACUGUAUCCCUGCCGGACUCUACCCUCGUGGGUCUCUAUCCCCCCACCCACUCUCUCCCCAUGGGACUAUUCCUGUGGACUCUAUCCCAUGGGACUCUAUUACCACGGGACUCUAUCCUCGGGACACUAUCGUCGUGGGUCUCUAUCCUCACCGGGCUCUAUCCACGCGGGACUCUAUCCCCGCGGGCCUCUAUCUCCAUGGGACUGUAUCCCCGGGACUCUAUCCCCGCGAGAACUCUAUCCCGCGGGACUCUAUCCACGUGGGAUUCUAUCCAAUGGGACUCUAUCCCCAUGGGACUCUAUCCCCGUGGGACUCUAUCCCCGGGACUCUAUCCCCGUGAGAUUCUAUCCCCGUGGGACUCUAUCCCCAGGACACUAUCUCCAUUGGGACUCUAUCCCCGUGGGACUCUAUCCCCGCGGGACUAUCCCCGCGGGCCUCUAUCUCCAUGGGACUGUAUCCCCGGGACUCUAUCCCCGUGGGACUCUAUUCCCGUGGGGACUCUAUCCCCGCGGGACUCUAUCCAAUGGGACUCUAUCCCCAUGGGACUGUAUCCCCGCAUGUCUCUAUCCUCAUGGGACUCUAUCCCUGCCCGUCUCUAUCCCCGGGACUCUAUCCCCGCGGGACUCUAUCCCCGCGAGUCUCUAUCCCCGGGACUCUAUCCAUGCGGGACUCUAUCCCUAUGGGACUCUAUCCUCGCGGGACUAUCCCCGAGGGCCUCUAUCCCCGGGACACUAUCCCCAUGGGACUCUAUCCCUGCAUGUCUCUAUCCCAGGGACUCUAUCCCCGCGGGACUCUAUCCCCAUGGGACUCUAUCCACGCGAGACUCUAUCCCCAUGGGACUGUAUCCCCGCCCGUCUCUAUCCCCGGGACUCUAUCCACGCGAGUCUCUAUCCUCGGGACUCUAUCCCCGUGGGACUCUAUCCUCGCGGGACUAUCCCCGAGGCCUCUAUCUCUGUGGGACUCUAUCCCCGCGGAACUCUCCCCAUGGGACUCUAUCCCCGCAUGUCUCUAUCCCUGGGACUCUGUCCCUGUGGGACUCUAUCCCCGGGACACUAUCCCCAUGGGACUCUAUCCCCGCAGGUCUCUAUCCCCGUGGGAUUCUAUCCCCGUGGGACUCUAUCCUCGCAGGACUAUCCCCGUGGGACUCUAUCCCCAUGGGACUCUAUCCCCGUGGGAUUCUAUCCCCGUGGGACUCUAUCCUCGUAGGACUAUCCCCGUGGGACUCUAUCCCCAUGGGACUCUAUCCCCGCAUGUCUCUAUCCCCGGGACUCUAUCCCCGCGGGACUCUAUCCCCGCGAGUCUCUAUCCCCGGGACUCUAUCCAUGCGGGACUCUAUCCCUAUGGGACUCUAUCCUCGCGGGACUAUCCCCGAGGGCCUCUAUCCCCGGGACACUAUCCCCAUGGGACUCUAUCCCUGCAUGUCUCUAUCCCAGGGACUCUAUCCCCGCGGGACUCUAUCCCCAUGGGACUCUAUCCACGCGAGACUCUAUCCCCAUGGGACUGUAUCCCCGCCCGUCUCUAUCCCCGGGACUCUAUCCACGCGAGUCUCUAUCCUCGGGACUCUAUCCCCGUGGGACUCUAUCCUCGCGGGACUAUCCCCGAGGCCUCUAUCUCUGUGGGACUCUAUCCCCGCGGAACUCUCCCCAUGGGACUCUAUCCCCGCAUGUCUCUAUCCCUGGGACUCUGUCCCUGUGGGACUCUAUCCCCGGGACACUAUCCCCAUGGGACUCUAUCCCCGCAGGUCUCUAUCCCCGUGGGAUUCUAUCCCCGUGGGACUCUAUCCUCGCAGGACUAUCCCCGUGGGACUCUAUCCCCAUGGGACUCUAUCCCCGCAUGUCUCUAUCCCUGGGACUCUAUUCCCCCGUGGGACUCUAUCCCCGUGGGACUCUAUCCUCGCGGGACUAUCCCCGAGGGCCUCUAUCUCCGUGGGACUCUAUCCCCAUGGGACUCUAUACCCGCAUGUCUCUAUCCCUGGGACUGUAUCCCCAGUGGGACUCUAUCCCCACGGGACUCUAUCCCCAUGGGACUCUAUCUCUGCGCGUCUCUAUCCCCGGGACUCUAUCCCCGGGACACUAUCCCCAUGGGACUCUAUCCCCGUGGGACUCUAUCCCCGCGGGUCUCUAUCCCCGUGGGACUCUAUCCUCGCAGGACUAUCCCCGCGGGCCUCUAUCUCCUUGGGACUCUAUUCCCGGGACUCUAUCCCGUGGGACUCUAUCCCCAUGGGACUCUAUCCCCGCAUGUCUUUAUCCCUGGGGCUCUAUCCCCGCGGGACUCUAUCCCCAUGGGACUCUAUCCCUGCGCGUCUCUAUCCCCGGGACACUAUCCCCAUGGGACUCUAUCCCCGUGGGACUCUAUCCCCGUGGGAUUCUAUCCCCGCGGGCUUCUAUCUCCUUGGGACUCUAUUCCCAGGACUCUAUCCCCGCAGGACUCUAUCCCCAUGGGACUCUAUCCCCGCGCAUCUCUAUCCUCAUGGGACUCUAUUCCCGCGCGUCUCUAUCCCCAGGACUCUAUCCCUGUGGGACUCUAUCCCCGCGGGACUCUAUCGCUGAGGGACUCUAUCCUCGCGGGACUCUAUCCCCAUGGGACUCUAUCCCCGUGUCUCUAUCCCCUUGGGACUCUAUCCCCGUGGGACUCUAUCCCCGGGACACUAUCCCCGUGGGACUCUAUCCACGCGGGACUCUAUCCCCGCGCGACUAUCCCCGCGGGCCUCUAUCUCCAUGGGACUGUAUCCCCGGGAUUCUAUCCCCCUGGGACUCUAUCCCGGUGGGACUCUAUCCCGGCCAGGACUCUAUUCCCGCGGGACUCUAUCCACGUGGGACCUCCCCACCCCCCCACCCCCCCACCCCCACCGCUGCCCCAGAACUUUGUUUUAAAGAGUGCUGUUUGUUUGACAAUAAGGUUUUGCUGAUAUGAUUUUCCUGUAAAUAUUCUGGUUGUAGGUCACUGUGAAAGAAGCCUCUGUUUUCUGACCUCUUCUCAAAGAACCUUGUCUUUGUACAACAGCUGUGAGGUUAGAAAAGUCUUCAGAGGUUUUUUGAUACAACCCUCCCUUCCCCCAAAUCAUUAGGACUGUAAUAAUAAGAUAAUAAAAUCAAUCACGCAGACUGUAUCCCAAUUCAUCGGACACCAUUAGACAAAAAACAGUUUUGGGGGGGGCAAGUGGAACUCAUUUAAAAAUUAAUUGUACUCUGACAAUUUUGGAAUUCUUUUGCUUAAGAAAAACAGAAGUUUGGAGGGUCAGAGUUCAGAGCCAACAGAAGCUCCUUUUGGUGUGUUUUGUUUUCCUGGCACCUGCCUCCUUGGGUUUGAAUUCCUGGGAGAAGCAUUUUCCUGUCUGUGAAGUGGGAGGUGGUUCCAGGGAACAUCAUGUUUCCAUUGGCAAAUACUAGUUAUUACAGUUAGAACUCCCAAUUUGAGUAUUUUUGUUGAGCAAGAACCAAGGAAAAUGUUUUCUUUGUUAAACGUGUUUAUGAAGUGUCUUAAAUUGUGCUGGUUAGCUAGUAGGCCUCAAUUCAAUGCAACAAAUAUUUAUUGCCAAUGGGCUCUGUGCCCAGCUGGGGGCACAGAGCUUGUCGGGGUUAUAAAGAUUAAAAAAACAAAAAACAAUCUCUGCUCUCAAGUCGCUGUCAGUUGUACUCAGGAAAAGGGGGCACACUCUCAGUUGUUUUAUCAGGAAAUUCUAUUUAAGUGCCUAUUACAUGUUGGGCAUUGUUCGGAGCUACUUGGCGGGAAAGAUAUCUAUACCAUCAUUAAGUCUCAUAUAUAUUUUUCAAGCUAUGGAUAAACAAGAGUGGACACAGAAAUCAGUCUUAUGGGGCAAGAUGAGUAAGAAAAAAACAUUGGGAUAGAAUACAAAAUACCAGAAUUCAUCUCAUGUAAGUGUAGUAAGGUUAAGUUUACUUUGUGAAAUCUUUUUUUUUAAUAUAUCAUUUUUUUCUAUUGUGGACUAAAUAUUAGGUAUCUGUGAUGCACACUGCCAUACCUUUCUUUUUGUUUUUAUCAAGGGUUGUAACUUUAGGAUUUUUAUAAAAAUGAUACCCGACCAAUAUGGAUUCAGGUAAUAUAGUUUUAAAAAAAGUAACAUAGGACCCUAAUCUGGCCACCCAGAAAUAACCAGGGUUGAGAUUUGGUGAACAUCAUUCCAGGUGUCUAUGCUGAUAAAAAAAGAUGGGUACACAGGCAUCAUUUUACUUGGAUGUAUUAUAUUUAUUUUCCCCUCAGAACUGAAUCAACAUCGUUUUCAUUGUCUUCUAACAUUGAAUAUUGUCAGGGAAAAAUGUAAGGCUAGUGGUUUUUUUCCUUCUGUAUUUUCUGUCUGGAAAGCUUAAGAAAUCUUUGUGUACCCAAACUAAAAUUCCAGAAUAUAAACUUUUUGGAGGCAAGGAUUUAUAUCUUGUGUGUUUACUGCUGUACUUCUAGGCCUAGAAUAUUGCCUAGUGUAGAACAAACAUAAUAAAUAUCUGUCACAUGAAUGAAUGCGUACUGUGUUGCCAUAUAAGGUGUAUUUCUUAGUAUGCUUUAUAUAACAUAUAAAUGUCUGAAAAACUGUAGUCUAGCAGGUCACACAAGACAUGAGUAGACCGUGAAAAUGCAGGUGUAUGUUGGAAUGCAUAUGUAAACAGAAUGGUGUGUGUCUGGAGGAGGCAGCGAAGGCUUCAUGGAGGAGGUGGCUUCCAGGGCUGACAUUUAUUUAUUUAUUUAUUUUUUAAAAGAUUUUAUUUAUUUAUUCAUAUAAACACACACACACACACACACAGAGAGAGAGAGAGAGAGAGAGGCAGAGGCACAUGCAGAGGGAGAAGCAGGCUCCAUGCAGGGAGCCUGAUGUGGGAAUCGAUCCAGGGUCCCCAGGAUCAAACCCCAGGCUGCAGGGGGCGCUAAACCGCUGCGCCACCGGGGCUGCCCCAGGGCUGACUUUUAAAGGAGGAGUUGGAAUAUAUGGGGCCUCACAUGUAUGUGAUCUGGACCUAAGGAAUAGCAUAUAUCAAGAAGUGAGGGAGCAUAGCCUAUUUCUUUAAAAAAAAAAAAGAGUGGUUUAGUAUCGUGGAGUUUAAAAUACGGGUUCAGAGAGAAGUGCAUGGAGAUGAGAUUGGACAGGUUGCUGGGGGCAGGACACAGUGGGCGUUACUCACAUGGCAAAUUAGGCCUUUAUUAGGUGCUAGACAGGGUCCCAGGGGUAUAAGGAUGAGCAAAAGGGCUGGUUCCUGCUCUCAGGAAGCUUAUACUCUAACGACAUUUUGGUAUAAUAUAGUUAAGUAUUAUGAUGAGUGCUCUUGAUCUCAGAAGAGGUCCAACAUAAGAAGCAUCUGUCUUCUCCAGUUUGAAAAAUACGACUACAGACUGAGGCCAAAGUGUCACUUGUUACCAUUCCACGUGAGAGCCAGCUGCCCCUGUUACCUGUUACCCGGACCUCCUGCAUUAGGCAGACUUGCUGCUUCAGAAGGACAGCAGAAUUGCUCUCUCAGGGCAGCUGACUCAAGAGGAGGAAGGUGUAAGGUAAAAUAAUUGGUGUGCCCAAUUAUUCUUUCAGUAUUUACCAGUCAGAUAUACUAUCUCUGUGGAGACAGGGAAACUAAGGGUGUGCAGAGAAGCCUGGGGUUGCAGGGAAACAUCUGGGUCAGGAGAGAAGCAUUUCCCAACCCCCAGUGGGAGGAGUGUGCAAUUUUAUGGGAAUGUGUUUUGGAGUACACACCUAGGCUGAAACCUGAAGGAUGAAUAGGAGUUAGCCAAGGGGAGGAGUAUGAGUAAGGAAGUUCUAGGUGGGAGAGGGGCCUAUGUGAUGGGUCCAGGCUAAAGUGUACAGGUAGAGAGUGGAGAGGCAAGCUGGUGAACAGCCAGUGGGCCACACUGAGGAGUGAGAGCUCCGUCCUGACAGCGUGGGUGGGAGUGGCGGUAAAAAUAGAGGCAUGUAGUCAAAUCCGGGUACUCUUCUCUCCAUGGUGGCCUCAGAUAGGAGUGGCUGUGGAUGCCUAGAGACUCCAAGUCAAGGGAUAUUUAGGAGGUAAAUUGAGAGGCCUUGUGAUUGGUUGUUGGUGUGCAAGAAGAAGGAAGAUUGGGCCAUGUUGAGGUGAUACGGCACCAUCACAGUUGUGAGCAGGGAAGUGAUAUUUAACAGGUAAGACUUGAUCUAGGAAGACCACAAGUCCAAACAAAAGCAAUGGGGUCUGCACAUGGGAGCUAUUUAGGACUAAACUAGAUGACUUUGGUUUGGAUGUGCGGUAUGAGACGGAAGCCCUGAUUUCUGUCUUUGGCCCCUGAGCUAAGGGCAGUGGCAGUGAGAGAGGGCACUUGCAGGGGGACGUUGGCUACAGGGAUGGAGAUGAGAAUGUUCACUGUGUCUGGGAGUGUUAGGAAAGGCAUCGGAACUCUCAGAACUAACUUCGAGUGAUGAGUGUUGUAUGAUGUGGGAUCGAUCUGGUAUAAAUAGGGAGGUAGAAGACAGUCUAUAUUUGGGGAACCCUGAGUGUUUUGUUUUCCUGAGUGCAGAUUUCCAGGAGGUAAAGCAGAAGGAGAAGAGGCGGCAGAGAUGGGCAAGAGCCAAGUCACAAAGACUUAACGAGCUGUGUGAAGCUAAGGAAUCUGGACUUUGUGCAGCUCCCAGGAGCCGUAGAUCGAGCUUAAGGUGAAAAGUGCCAUGAGCAGGUUUGCAGUAUUCUGGAGACAGACUGGAGAGAGGAGACGCUGGCGGCCAGAGACAAGCUUUUCCAUCUAUAAAUUGGGGAUAACAGCAGAAUUCACCAUAUAGGAUUGUUGUGAGUUUUUCAGUUAUGGAACACAAAUGUUGUAUCAAAACAAUGAAGCUUUUCAGUCUAAAUUCUUCCCACCCCUUCAAAAAGCGAUGCUACCGCCCAAUAGUUUUCAAGGAAAAGUGGCAUUUAUUACAGGAGGAGGUACU